Molecule: ribosomal RNA, 322 nt
Filed under: uncultured bacterium
Lineage: Bacteria
Description: bacterial SSU rRNA
Rfam family: Bacterial small subunit ribosomal RNA
Source: RNAcentral
AAUCAACGCUGGCGGCGUGCCUCAGACAUGCAAGUCGAACGCGAAAUUUCCCUUCGGGGAGAAAGUAGAGUGGCGCACGGGUGAGUAACACGUAGGUAAUUUGCCUUUGGGUGGGGAAUAACUCAGGGAAACUUGAGCUAAUACCGCAUAAUGCAGCGGCUCGACAUCGAGACAGUUGUUAAAGCGGGGGAUCGCAAGACCUCGCGCCUAAAGAGAAGCCUGCGGCAGAUAGCUAGUUGGUAGGGUAAUGGCCUACCAAGGCAACGAUCUGUAACCGGCCUGAGAGGGCGGUCGGUCACACUGACACUGACAUACGGGUCAG